RNAcentral lists this transfer RNA (64 nucleotides) under Echiniscus testudo. Its description in RNAcentral is "tRNA-Gln". The record is from RNAcentral. Lineage: Eukaryota; Metazoa; Tardigrada; Heterotardigrada; Echiniscoidea; Echiniscidae.
UUUUGUUUAGUAUAUAGAGUACAGAGAAUUUUGAGUUCUAAAGUUAUAUUUAUUUUAAUAACAA